Molecule: ribosomal RNA, 440 nt
Filed under: uncultured bacterium
Lineage: Bacteria
Description: partial 16S ribosomal RNA
Rfam family: Bacterial small subunit ribosomal RNA
Source: RNAcentral
CCUACGGGUGGCAGCAGUGGGGAAUAUUGCACAAUGGGGGAAACCCUGAUGCAGCGACGCCGCGUGAGUGAUGAAGUAAUUCGUUAUGUAAAGCUCUUUCAGCAGGGAAGAAAAUGACGGUACGUGAGUAAGAAGCCCCGGCUAACUACGUGCCAGCAGCCGCGGUAUUACGUAGGGGGCACGCGUUAUCCGGAUUUACUGGGUGUAAAGGGCGCGUAGACGGCAGUGCAAGUCUGGAGUGAAAGGCGGUGGCUCAACCCUCGGACUGCUCUGGAAACUGUACGGCUGGAGUGCAGGAGAGGUUAGUGGAAUUCCUAGUGUAGCGGUGAAAUGCGUAGAUAUUAGGAGGAACACCAGUGGCGAAGGCGGCUUACUGGACUGUAACUGACGUUGAGGCUCGAAAGCGUGGGGAGCAAACAGGAUUAGAUACCCGAGUAGUC